This 464-nucleotide ribosomal RNA is filed under the name Vreelandella stevensii. RNAcentral's name for it is "partial 16S ribosomal RNA". It matches the Rfam family "Bacterial small subunit ribosomal RNA", at positions 338 to 795 of the family's 1533-position model. Lineage: Bacteria; Pseudomonadati; Pseudomonadota; Gammaproteobacteria; Oceanospirillales; Halomonadaceae. The record is from RNAcentral.
CCUACGGGAGGCUGCAGUGGGGAAUAUUGGACAAUGGGCGAAAGCCUGAUCCAGCCAUGCCGCGUGUGUGAAGAAGGCCUUCGGGUUGUAAAGCACUUUCAGUGGGGAAGAAAGCCUUGGGGCUAAUACCCUCGAGGAAGGACAUCACCCACAGAAGAAGCACCGGCUAACUCCGUGCCAGCAGCCGCGGUAAUACGGAGGGUGCGAGCGUUAAUCGGAAUUACUGGGCGUAAAGCGCGCGUAGGCGGUCUGAUAAGCCGGUUGUGAAAGCCCCGGGCUCAACCUGGGAACGGCAUCCGGAACUGUCGGGCUAGAGUGCAGGAGAGGAAGGUAGAAUUCCCGGUGUAGCGGUGAAAUGCGUAGAGAUCGGGAGGAAUACCAGUGGCGAAGGCGGCCUUCUGGACUGACACUGACGCUGAGGUGCGAAAGCGUGGGUAGCAAACAGGAUUAGAUCCCCUGUAGUC